AUCUAGCUGGGAAAUGUGGUAGUUUUAAGACAUGUCUGCAAAUUCUUUCAUCUUUUUCUCAUCAAGAUGUGGGUUCUCUAUUCCUCACCUUGAACCUGGGCCCACCUUAAUGAUUGGUUGGUCACCAGCAUAAAGAGGAAGUGAUAUUCUGUGACUUCCAGGCUGGGCCAUAGAAGCCAGGCAGUUUCCUCUUGGUUCCCUGGAUCACUUGCACUGGAGCUGCCACGUAAGAAGUCUGACCAUCCCGAGGCCUCUAUGCUGUGAGGAAGCCCAAAUUAGUCCACAUGGAGAUGCCCUGAGUCUACAAGAAAAGAGAGGACAGACAGAGAUGCUCCUCUAGACACCAUUUCGCUGAAACCACAUGAGGGUUCACCAAGCCAAGACCGCUGAGCUGAGCCUUUCCCAGGUUCCUGACCACAGAAACCAUAAGAGAUAAUAACGUGAUUGAUGGUGGCCAGACACAGUGACUCACACCUGAAAUCCCAGCACUUUGGGAGGCUGAGAUCUAUGCCCCUUGAUAUGACUUUGCAGUUCCUUCUACUAAGAAGAUGAAUCCAUUUCUCCACCCGCUGAGUCUGGGCUGGUCUUGUGAUGUGCGUUAGUCAAUAGAAGUGGCUGAAGUGAUGGCGCGCCAGUUUUUAGCCUACACUUCAAGAAGCCUAUGGACUUCCACUUGCUGUCUUGAAACCCUGUUUGAAAAAGGUUCCCUGAGGACAAGGCCAGACUAGCCUGCUGGAGGGUGAGAGACCACAGGGAGCAGAGACAAGUCAGCUCACAUUAGCAGAACCUCUCAGUCAAUCCACAGACCCGUAAUCUCCUCCCCUGGAGUGUGGACCAGAGUUAGUGACUCACCUCUAACGAAUGAAAUAGCUCAGUCUGAUGGAAGCAGCUGCCCUGUUGUGAGCUCCCCCUAGGGAGAGGCCCACAUGGGAAGAAAUCAAAGUAUGCCUCAAACCAACAGCCAGAGGGAAACUGAGGCUUCAGUCCAACAAGCCAGAAGGAACUGAAUCCCACCAACAACCACUUCAUUGAGCCAGUAAGUGGCUCCUCUCCCAGUCUUGAGAUGGCUCCAACAUCAGCUGACACCUUAAUUACAGCCUCGUGAGGGACCCUGAGCCAGAGAAUCAGCUAAGCCAUGUCCAGAUCCCUAGUCCUUCGAAACUAUAAAACAAUGAGAAAGCUAAAGCUUGGUGAGAUUACGGAAGCCUACAGUUACACAGCUGACUCCCUCCAGAGGCCCCAUCCACACCCACUGUUGGACUCCUGCUACUCUCGGAGGCUUGGAGUUGGUUUCUCCUCCCCCAAAUCGGUCUCAACACUUACCCUUACUUCCUGCUCUUCGUGGUCUCAGCCUCACUGUUCUUCGUGGACUCAUUUUUUCUCUUCCCUUUGUUUUAUUUUUGUCUCUUUCUUUCUUUUUUGGCUUCAGUGGAGUCCUAGCCUUAAGGUUUUCCUUCUCUAACCCCUUGUUCCCCUUCCAUUCUCUUUCCAGCCCUCUGUAAGCUGCAGCACAGUGUUUACAGUUAAGCCAGCCUCCAUUGAGGCCUUCAGUUGCCGAAGUUCAAAAAAAUCAACCUAGAAUAACAACGUAUUGUUAUAUAAAUGGCAUCUCAGAAAUAAACUAGUCAAAUACGCUUAUCCCCACAGUUCACAUGGGGGAAAAGCUUGCUACCUGAUGUUCUAAUACAUAAUAGUUGUUUUCUCAUUUAUCAACUUUCAUCCCCAGUAUCUGUAAGCUCCAAGAAGGCAAAGACUUUCACU
This 1761-nucleotide long non-coding RNA is filed under the name Homo sapiens (human). Its description in RNAcentral is "HSALNT0405921". Lineage: Eukaryota; Metazoa; Chordata; Mammalia; Primates; Hominidae. The record is from RNAcentral.